RNAcentral lists this long non-coding RNA (858 nucleotides) under Mustela putorius furo (domestic ferret). RNAcentral's name for it is "lncRNA (ENSMPUG00000027470.1)". The record is from RNAcentral. Lineage: Eukaryota; Metazoa; Chordata; Mammalia; Carnivora; Mustelidae.
AUGUCCCGAAGAGGCCGAUCCCUACAGACGGAAGACAGGGUCCUUUUCUGCCAUGGAGACGUCAGGUGGAAGAGCCCCUACUCCGGAGAGGAGAAGCUCUCAGUCUACCCCCAAGCCUCAUCUGCCACCUUCUCCAGCUACCACUGGGCUGCCCGGAAGAGAGCAGCAUGGUCAGAACAGCACAGCAGCCCAUCAAGAAGCCCGGAGGUGAUCCGAGAGCUACCUGGCUUCAUAGCCUUGGCUUUUGGCCUCAGUGGCCGGAGGAAACUCCUCAGCCUGGAGCUUGAGGCUCUUGGAGGCGCCUUGGAGGGGAUGGAGUUGAACUCAACCUUCCAGUCCCGGACACCUCGCACAUGCUCCGCGGCCGCACGCUCCGCGGCGGGAAGCCAGCGGGCAUCGGGACCGACUGCCGACCAACCUCCAGGCCCCGCGAUGUGCCCCGCGCGAGCUGGCACGUACACACCCCUUCUUCGCGGCGCCCUGGCAGUUUCUCAAAAACAGACCCUGUGGUUCCUCCCCGUGUGGUUUCCAUUCCAGGCACUGCUGAGCGAAGAAAAUGACUUGGAAGUGCCCACUAGAAAUAGAGUUCGGGAAUAAAAAGGUAUUUUUCGGGACACCUGGGUAGCUCAGCCGGUUAAGCUUUCAACUCUUGAUUUUUGGCUUUGGUCAUGAUCUUAGGGUUCUGGGACCGAGCCCUGUGUUGGGAGAUCUGCACUGAGCAUGGGCAUGGGCAUGGACGCUGCUUCGGAUUCUUUAUCUCCCUUUCUCUCUGCCCCUCUCCCCGCCCCCCCCACCUCCUGCUUACAAGCUUGCUUGCUUUCUUAAAAAAUAAAUAAAUAAAUAAAUUUUCAGACUUGC